CCUACGGGAGGCAGCAGUGAGGAAUAUUGGUCAAUGGGCGCGAGCCUGAACCAGCCAAGUCGCGUGAGGGAAGAUGGUCCUAUGGAUUGUAAACCUCUUUUGUCGGGGAGCAAAAGACGCCACGCGUGGCGUUCCGAGAGUACCCGAAGAAAAAGCAUCGGCUAACUCCGUGCCAGCAGCCGCGGUACUACGGAGGAUGCGAGCGUUAUCCGGAUUUAUUGGGUUUAACGGGUGCGCAGGCGGAAGAUCAAGUCAGCGGUAAAAUUGAGAGGCUCAACCUCUUCGAGCCGUUGAAACUGGUUUUCUUGAGUGAGCGAGAGGUAUGCGGAAUGCGAGGUGUAGCGGUGAAAUGCAUAGAUAUAACGAAGAACUCCGAUUGCGAAGGCAGCAUACCGGCGCUCAACUGACGCUCAUGUACGAAAGUGUGGGUAGCGAACAGGAUUAGAUACCCGUGUAGUC
Molecule: ribosomal RNA, 459 nt
Filed under: uncultured bacterium
Lineage: Bacteria
Description: partial 16S ribosomal RNA
Rfam family: Bacterial small subunit ribosomal RNA
Source: RNAcentral